CCUACGGGAGGCAGCAGUGAGGAAUAUUGGUCAAUGGACGAGAGUCUGAACCAGCCAAGUAGCGUGAAGGAUGACUGCCCUAUGGGUUGUAAACUUCUUUUAUAUGGGAAUAAAACGUUCCACGUGUGGGAUUUUGUAUGUACCAUAUGAAUAAGGAUCGGCUAACUCCGUGCCAGCAGCCGCGAUAAUACGGAGGAUCCGAGCGUUAUCCGGAUUUAUUGGGUUUAAAGGGAGCGUAGGUGGAUUGUUAAGUCAGUUGUGAAAGUUUGCGGCUCAACCGUAAAAUUGCAGUUGAAACUGGCAGUCUUGAGUACAGUAGAGGUGGGCGGAAUUCGUGGUGUAGCGGUGAAAUGCUUAGAUAUCACGAAGAACUCCGAUUGCGAAGGCAGUUCACUGGACUGCAACUGACACUGAGGCUCGAAAGUGUGGGUAUCAAACAGGAUUAGAUACCCGUGUAGUC
RNAcentral lists this ribosomal RNA (460 nucleotides) under uncultured bacterium. Its description in RNAcentral is "partial 16S ribosomal RNA". It matches the Rfam family "Bacterial small subunit ribosomal RNA", at positions 338 to 795 of the family's 1533-position model. The record is from RNAcentral.